CCUACGGGGGGCAGCAGUGGGGAAUAUUGCACAAUGGGCGCAAGCCUGAUGCAGCGACGCCGCGUGAGGGAUGACGGCCUUCGGGUUGUAAACCUCUGUUAGCAGGGAAGAAGAGAAAUUGACGGUACCUGCAGAGAAAGCGCCGGCUAACUACGUGCCAGCAGCCGCGGUAAUACGUAGGGCGCGAGCGUUGUCCGGAAUUAUUGGGCGUAAAGAGCUUGUAGGCGGUUUGUCGCGUCUGCUGUGAAAGGCCGGGGCUUAACUCCGUGUAUUGCAGUGGGUACGGGCAGACUAGAGUGCAGUAGGGGAGACUGGAACUCCUGGUGUAGCGGUGGAAUGCGCAGAUAUCAGGAAGAACACCGAUGGCGAAGGCAGGUCUCUGGGCUGUAACUGACGCUGAGGCUCGAAAGCGUGGGGAGCGAACAGGAUUAGAUACCCGUGUAGUC
RNAcentral lists this ribosomal RNA (446 nucleotides) under uncultured Rothia sp. RNAcentral's name for it is "bacterial SSU rRNA". It matches the Rfam family "Bacterial small subunit ribosomal RNA", at positions 338 to 795 of the family's 1533-position model. The record is from RNAcentral. Lineage: Bacteria; Bacillati; Actinomycetota; Actinomycetes; Micrococcales; Micrococcaceae.